Papaver somniferum (opium poppy) is the source of this 304-nucleotide long non-coding RNA. RefSeq lists it as uncharacterized. NCBI's taxonomy places the organism in Eukaryota, Viridiplantae, Streptophyta, Magnoliopsida, Ranunculales, Papaveraceae. The record is from RefSeq and is a predicted model, not a curated record. The transcript has 3 exons.
GUCUGUCUCUUCGUUUUUAAUUCCGGUGUGAAGAAAAUUAGAAGAACAAUUCCGGUGCGAGUAGCGGCUUAAAGGAUUUUCUUCAUCUCCCACCAAACCUUCAUAGCGAGUAGCGGCUUAAAGGAUUCACUGCAAUCACCGAAGUGCCAACUUUGUCAGUGAUGGAAAUAUGGCGUCAUUUCACUCGGAGAAAUGUUGAAGAACCCUCUUGCAAUUACUGUGGAAGGACUUAUAGGGCUAACAUGUCCAGAAAUGGAACUUCUGCCUUGUGGAAUGCUUAGAAGUUGCAAUAAUGCUUAGAAGU